AACUUUGGACAAUGGGUGAAACCCUGAUCCAGCCAUCCCGCGUGUAUGAUGAAGGCCUUCGGGUUAUAAAGUACUUUUGGCAGAGAAGAAAAGGUAGCUCCUAAUACGAGCUAAUGCUGACGGCAGCUGCAGAAUAAGCACCGGCUAACUACGUGCACGCAGCGGCGGUAAGACGUAGGGUGCAAGCGUUAAUCGGAAUUACUGGGCGUAAAGCGUGUGUAGGCGGUUCGGAAAGAAAGAUGUGAAAUCCCAGGGCUCAACCUUGGAACUGCAUUUUUAACUGCCGAGCUAGAGUAUGUCAGAGGGGGGUAGAAUUCCACGUGUAGCAGUGAAAUGCGUAGAUAUGUGGAGGAAUACCGAUGGCGAAGGCAGCCCCCUGGGAUAAUACUGACGCUCAGACACGAAAGCGUGGGGAGCAAACA
Molecule: ribosomal RNA, 422 nt
Filed under: uncultured bacterium
Lineage: Bacteria
Description: partial 16S ribosomal RNA
Rfam family: Bacterial small subunit ribosomal RNA
Source: RNAcentral